This 454-nucleotide ribosomal RNA is filed under the name uncultured bacterium. RNAcentral describes it as "bacterial SSU rRNA". It matches the Rfam family "Bacterial small subunit ribosomal RNA", at positions 43 to 524 of the family's 1533-position model. The record is from RNAcentral.
CANCCCUAACACAUGCAAGUCAAACGGUGGUAGCAAUACCAUAGUGGCGUUUGGGUGCGUAACACGUAACUAACCUACCUAUAACUGGGGGAUAGCCCGCCGAAAGGCGGAUUAAUACCGCAUAAGCUUGUGAGGUGGCAUCACCUUAUUAGUAAAGAUUUAUUGGUUGUAGAUGGGGUUGCGGGUCAUUAGCUAGUUGGUUGGGUAACGGCUGACCAAGGCGACGAUGACUAGGGGAGCUGAGAGGAUGACCAGCCACACUGGGACUGAGACACGGCCCAGACUCCUAUGGGAGGCAGCAGUGGGGAAUAUUGGACAAUGGGCGAAAGCCUGAUCCAGCAAUGCCGCGUGAGUGAUGAAGGCCUUAGGGUUGUAAAGCUCUUUCAGCACGGAAGAUAAUGACUGUACCUGCAGAAGAAGCCCCGGCUAACUCUGUGCCAGCAGCCCGGGUAAU